Molecule: long non-coding RNA, 491 nt
Filed under: Sus scrofa (pig)
Lineage: Eukaryota; Metazoa; Chordata; Mammalia; Artiodactyla; Suidae
Description: lncRNA (ENSSSCG00030000232.1)
Source: RNAcentral
CAUCUAACAGCACAGGGAACAUCCAUCCGUGACUCAAGCCCCAUAUGGGUGCAGGUUCUCUUGUGAGCCCUGAGUCAUCAUCUCCAUCUGACCAGGCCUCCCCUUCUCAUGGCUUCUUGCCAAGGCUGCUCUUAGCCUGGGCUAAUUAGCAUCCUCCACCCCCCCACCCUGUCCUCCGCUCUCGCCCACUCAGGCAGGCUGGAAUUGAAAGGGAGAGCUCAAGAGCUGUGAAAAAUGAGCAAAGCUUGGGAGGCAGGAGAAACUGCAAACUGGGAGCCCCUCAUGCCAAUUUUAGGGCAGCCCCUGUUAUGAGAGCAAUAAAGAAAUGGCAAUUUCUGCCAUUUAGAAGCAAAUGGCCCUUUCAUCUGGAGAGGCUGUUGAAGGCAAAGCACACUCCACCGCGGAGGAGGUGCGGCUCUGGUUCCAAUCUUUGCAUCCCUGAUACCCGAGUAAAAUGCAGCUGAGAGGAGUCACCUAGUUGCCCCUCGGCC